CCUACGGGAGGCAGCAGUGGGGAAUAUUGCACAAUGGGGGAAACCCUGAUGCAGCGACGCCGCGUGAGUGAAGAAGUAUUUCGGUAUGUAAAGCUCUAUCAGCAGGGAAGAAAAUGACGGUACCUGAUUAAGAAGCCCCGGCUAACUACGUGCCAGCAGCCGCGGUAAUACGUCGGGGGCAAGCUUUAUCCGGAUUUACUGGGUGUAAAGGGAGCGUAGACGGCAGCACAAGUCUGGAGUGAAAUGCCGGGGCUGAACCCCGGAACUGCGUUGGAAACUGUGCAGCUAGAGGGCAGGAGAGGUAAGUGGAAUUCCUAGUGUAGCGGGGAAAUGCGUAGAUAUUAGGAGGAACACCAGGGGGGAAGGCGGCUUACUGGACUGAAACCGACGUUGAGGCUCGAAAGCGUGGGGAGCAAACAGGAUUAGAUACCCGGGUAGGC
RNAcentral lists this ribosomal RNA (440 nucleotides) under uncultured bacterium. Its description in RNAcentral is "partial 16S ribosomal RNA". It matches the Rfam family "Bacterial small subunit ribosomal RNA", at positions 338 to 795 of the family's 1533-position model. The record is from RNAcentral.